This 384-nucleotide ribosomal RNA is filed under the name uncultured bacterium. Its description in RNAcentral is "bacterial SSU rRNA". It matches the Rfam family "Bacterial small subunit ribosomal RNA", at positions 29 to 398 of the family's 1533-position model. The record is from RNAcentral.
AACGAACGUUAGCGGCGCGCCUAACACAUGCAAGUCGAGCGAGAAAGGGCUUCGGCCCCGGUAAAGCGGCGCACGGGUGAGUAACACGUGGGUAAUCUGCCCUCGAGUUGGGGAUAACAUUCCGAAAGGAGUGCUAAUACCGAAUAAGACCACGACCUCGAAAGAGGAUGCGGUCAAAGCUGGCCUCUUUACAAAAGCUAGCGCUUGAGGAUGAGCCCGCGGCGCAUCAGGUAGUUGGNGAGGUAACGGCUCACCAAGCCGAAGACGCGUAGCUGGUCUGAGAGGAUGAUCAGCCACACUGGAACUGAGACACGGUCCAGACUCCUACGGGAGGCAGCAGUGGGGAAUAUUGGACAAUGGGCGCAAGCCUGAUCCAGCGAUGCC